CCCGGCAAAUCUUUUAAAAAUUCUAGUAGUGCUGUAGUCCCAGCUACUCGGGUGGGAGUAUCGCUGAGGUUGGAGGAUCGCUUGAGCCUAGGAGUUCUGGGCUAUGUUGAUCGGGUGUCCGCACUAAGUUUGGCAUCAAUACGGUGACCUCCCGGGAGUGGGGUACCACCAGGUUGCCUAAGGAGGGGUGAACCGGCCCAGGUCGGAAACGGAGCAGGUCAAAACUCCCGUGCCAAUCAGUAAUGGGAUUGCGCCUGUGAAUAGCUGCUGCACUCCAGCCUGGGCUACAUAGCAGGACCACGUCCCCC
Molecule: unclassified non-coding RNA, 308 nt
Organism: Callithrix jacchus (white-tufted-ear marmoset)
Lineage: Eukaryota; Metazoa; Chordata; Mammalia; Primates; Cebidae
Rfam family: Metazoan signal recognition particle RNA
About the family: The signal recognition particle (SRP) is a universally conserved ribonucleoprotein. It is involved in the co-translational targeting of proteins to membranes.
Source: Ensembl